GGCGAACGGGUGAGUAACACAUCGGAACGUACCCAGGAGUGGGGGACAACCUCGAGAAAUCGAGGCUAAUACCGCAUACGUCCUGAGGGAGAAAGCGGGGGACUCGCAAGAGCCUCGCGCUCAUGGAGCGGCCGAUGUCGGAUUAGCUAGUUGGCGGGGUAAAGGCCCACCAAGGCUACGAUCCGUAGCUGGUUUGAGAGAACGACCAGCCACACUGGGACUGAGACACGGCCCAGACUCCUACGGGAGGCAGCAGUGGGGAAUUUUGGACAAUGGGGGCAACCCUGAUCCAGCCAUGCCGCGUGAGUGAAGAAGGCCUUCGGGUUGUAAAGCUCUUUCGGCCGGAACGAAAUCGCGUACGUGAAUAACGUGCGUGGAUGACGGUACUGGAAGAAGAAGCACCGGCUAACUACGUGCCAGCAGCCGCGGUAAUACGUAGGGUGCGAGCGUUAAUCGGAAUUACUGGGCGUAAAGCGUGCGCAGGCGGUUCUGUAAGUCAGAUGUGAAAUCCCCGGGCUUAACCUGGGAACUGCGUUUGAAACUACGGAGCUAGAGUACGGCA
RNAcentral lists this ribosomal RNA (562 nucleotides) under uncultured beta proteobacterium. RNAcentral describes it as "bacterial SSU rRNA". It matches the Rfam family "Bacterial small subunit ribosomal RNA", at positions 97 to 653 of the family's 1533-position model. Lineage: Bacteria; Pseudomonadati; Pseudomonadota; Betaproteobacteria. The record is from RNAcentral.